RNAcentral lists this ribosomal RNA (443 nucleotides) under uncultured bacterium. Its description in RNAcentral is "partial 16S ribosomal RNA". It matches the Rfam family "Bacterial small subunit ribosomal RNA", at positions 338 to 795 of the family's 1533-position model. The record is from RNAcentral.
CCUACGGGGGGCAGCAGUGGGGAAUAUUGGGCAAUGGGCGCAAGCCUGACCCAGCAACGCCGCGUGAAGGAAGAAGGCUUUCGGGUUGUUAACUUCUUUUCUUAGGGACGAAGCAAGUGACGGUACCUGAGGAAUAAGCCACGGCUAACUACGGGCCCGCAGCCGCGGUCAUACGUGGGUGGCAAGCGUUCUCCGGAUUUACUGGGUGUAAAGGGCGUGUAGGCGGGACUGGAAGUCAGAUGUGAAAACCACGGGCUCAACCUGUGGCCUGCAUUUGAUACUGUAGUUCUUGAGUACUGGAGAGGCAGACGGAAUUCCUAGUGUAGCGGUGAAAUGCGUAGAUAUUAGGAGGAACACCAGUGGCGAAGGCGGUCUGCUGGACAGCAACUGACGCUGAGGCGCGAAAGCGUGGGGAGCAAACAGGAUUAGAUACCCCUGUAGUC